RNAcentral lists this long non-coding RNA (211 nucleotides) under Hordeum vulgare. Its description in RNAcentral is "long non-coding RNA (HVUL_LNC003832)". The record is from RNAcentral. Lineage: Eukaryota; Viridiplantae; Streptophyta; Magnoliopsida; Poales; Poaceae.
CCCAAAUUCGCAAGUCCAUAUCUGGACAUUUCCAGAAAUGGAAAUAUGACCUAUUUAGAACAAGGAAGAUUCACAAACAAUAAUAAAAAUGACAGGGAAAAUAUUAUGAGGAGGGGACCCACUUGCCAGUGACCCUCACUGGAUGACAUGUGGGUCUAGAGGGCCCACUGUCAUACACACACACAGCAAUUACACACAUCUCACACUCAAA